UGCGUAGGCGGGUCUUUAAGUCAGGGUGAAAUCCUGGAGCUCAACUCCAGAACUGCCUUUGAUACUGAGGAUCUUGAGUUCGGGAGAGGUGAGUGGAACUGCGAGUGUAGAGGUGAAAUUCGUAGAUAUUCGCAAGAACACCAGUGGCGAAGGCGGCUCACUGGCCCGAUACUGACGCUGAGGCACGAAAGCUGGGGAGCAAACA
This 205-nucleotide ribosomal RNA is filed under the name uncultured bacterium. Its description in RNAcentral is "partial 16S ribosomal RNA". It matches the Rfam family "Bacterial small subunit ribosomal RNA", at positions 568 to 774 of the family's 1533-position model. The record is from RNAcentral.